This 244-nucleotide unclassified non-coding RNA is filed under the name plant metagenome. RNAcentral's name for it is "partial contains small subunit ribosomal RNA, internal transcribed spacer 1, and 5.8S ribosomal RNA". The record is from RNAcentral.
GCUCCGUUGGUGAACCAGCGGAGGGAUCAUUACCGAGUUUACAACCCCCAAACCCAAUGUGAACCAUACCAAACUGUUGCCUCGGCGGGGUCACGCCCCGGGUGCGUCGCAGCCCCGGAACCAGGCGCCCGCCGGAGGGACCAACCAAACUCUUUCUGUAGUCCCCUCGCGGACGUUAUUUUUACAGCUCUGAGCAAAAAUUCAAAAUGAAUCAAAACUUUCAACAACGGAUCUCUUGGUUCUG